This 484-nucleotide ribosomal RNA is filed under the name uncultured bacterium. RNAcentral describes it as "partial 16S ribosomal RNA". It matches the Rfam family "Bacterial small subunit ribosomal RNA", at positions 28 to 507 of the family's 1533-position model. The record is from RNAcentral.
AUUGAACGCUGGCGGCAUGCUUUACACAUGCAAGUCGAACGGCAGCGCGGGCUUCGGCCUGGCGGCGAGUGGCGAACGGGUGAGUAAUGCAUCGGAACGUGCCCCGUCGUGGGGGAUAGCGCGGCGAAAGCCGGAUUAAUACCGCAUACGACCUGAGGGUGAAAGCGGGGGACCGAAAGGCCUCGCGCUAUUGGAGCGGCCGACGUCGGAUUAGCUAGUUGGUGGGGUAAUGGCUUACCAAGGCGACGAUCCGUAGCUGGUCUGAGAGGGCGACCAGCCACACGGGGAUGGAGGGACGGCCCAGACUCCUGCGGCAGGCAGCAGUGGGGAAGUUUGGACAAGGGGGGCAACCCGGAUCCAGCCAGGCCGCGUGCGGGAAGAAGGCCUUCGGGUUGUAGACCGCUUUUGUGCGGGAAGAAACCCUCUGGGCUAAUGCCCCGGGGUGAUGACGGUACCGGAAGAAGAAGCACCGGCUAACUACGUG